This 393-nucleotide ribosomal RNA is filed under the name uncultured bacterium. RNAcentral describes it as "bacterial SSU rRNA". It matches the Rfam family "Bacterial small subunit ribosomal RNA", at positions 30 to 424 of the family's 1533-position model. The record is from RNAcentral.
AUUGAACGCUGGCGGAAUGCUUUACACAUGCAAGUCGAACGGCAGCACGGGGCAACCUGGUGGCGAGUGGCGAACGGGUGAGUAAUACAUCGGAACGUGCCCAAUCGUGGGGGAUAACGUAGCGAAAGUUACGCUAAUACCGCAUACGAUCUACGGAUGAAAGCGGGGGAUCGCAAGACCUCGCGCGAGUGGAGCGGCCGAUGUCAGAUUAGGUAGUUGGUGGGGUAAAGGCUCACCAAGCCAACGAUCUGUAGCUGGUCUGAGAGGACGACCAGCCACACUGGAACUGAGACACGGUCCAGACUCCUACGGGAGGCAGCAGUGGGGAAUUUUGGACAAUGGGCGCAAGCCUGAUCCAGCCAUUCCGCGUGCAGGAUGAAGGCCCUUCGGGUU